This 498-nucleotide ribosomal RNA is filed under the name uncultured bacterium. Its description in RNAcentral is "partial 16S ribosomal RNA". It matches the Rfam family "Bacterial small subunit ribosomal RNA", at positions 30 to 523 of the family's 1533-position model. The record is from RNAcentral.
AUUGAACGCUGGCGGCAUGCCUUACACAUGCAAGUCGAACGGUAACAGGUCUUCGGAUGCUGACGAGUGGCGAACGGGUGAGUAACACAUCGGAACGUGCCUAGUAGUGGGGGAUAACUACUCGAAAGAGUGGCUAAUACCGCAUGAGAUCUACGGAUGAAAGCAGGGGAUCGCAAGACCUUGCGCUACUAGAGCGGCCGAUGGCAGAUUAGGUAGUUGGUGGGAUAAAAGCUUACCAAGCCGACGAUCUGUAGCUGGUCUGAGAGGACGAUCAGCCACACUGGGACUGAGACACGGCCCAGACUCCUACGGGAGGCAGCAGUGGGGAAUUUUGGACAAUGGGCGCAAGCCUGAUCCAGCAAUGCCGCGUGCAGGAUGAAGGCCUUCGGGUUGUAAACUACUUUUGUACGGAACGAAAAGCCCUGGGUUAAUACCCUGGGGUCAUGACGGUACCGUAAGAAUAAGCACCGGCCAACUACGUGCCAGCCGCCGCAGUAA